RNAcentral lists this ribosomal RNA (420 nucleotides) under Chloroflexota bacterium. RNAcentral's name for it is "Chloroflexi bacterium partial 16S ribosomal RNA". It matches the Rfam family "Bacterial small subunit ribosomal RNA", at positions 355 to 776 of the family's 1533-position model. Lineage: Bacteria; Bacillati; Chloroflexota. The record is from RNAcentral.
UGGGCGAUAUUGCACAAUGGGCGAAAGCCUGAUGCAGCGACGCCGCGUGGGGGAUGAAGGCUUUCGGGUUGUAAACCUCUUUCGCUAUCGAACAAGGCCCGCUUAGGGUGGGUUGAGGGUAGGUGGAGAAGAAGCGCCGGCUAACUACGUGCCAGCAGCCGCGGUAAUACGUAGGGCGCGAGCGUUGUCCGGAAUUAUUGGGCGUAAAGGGCUUGUAGGCGGCUUGUUGCGCCUGCUGUGAAAACGCGGGGCUUAACUUCGCGCGUGCAGUGGGUACGGGCAGGCUUGAGUGUGGUAGGGGUGACUGGAAUUCCAGGUGUAGCGGUGGAAUGCGCAGAUAUCUGGAGGAACACCAGUGGCGAAGGCGGCUCUCUGGUCUGUAACUGACGCUGAGGCUCGAAAGCGUGGGGAGCAAACAGG